RNAcentral lists this ribosomal RNA (253 nucleotides) under uncultured bacterium. RNAcentral describes it as "partial 16S ribosomal RNA". It matches the Rfam family "Bacterial small subunit ribosomal RNA", at positions 526 to 779 of the family's 1533-position model. The record is from RNAcentral.
CGGAGGAUGCGAGCGUUAUCCGGAUUUAUUGGGUUUAAAGGGAGCGCAGACGGGAGAUUAAGUCAGUUGUGAAAGUUUGCGGCUCAACCGUAAAUUGCAGUUGAUACUGGUUUCCUUGAGUGCAGUUGAGGCAGGCGGAAUUCGUGGUGUAGCGGUGAAAUGCUUAGAUAUCACGAAGAACCCCGAUUGCGAAGGCAGCUUGCUAAACUGUAACUGACGUUCAUGCUCGAAAGUGUGGGUAUCAAACAGGAUU